AUACGUAGGUGGCAAGCGUUGUCCGGAAUUAUUGGGCGUAAAGCGCGCGCAGGCGGUCCUUUAAGUCUGAUGUGAAAGCCCACGGCUCAACCGUGGAGGGUCAUUGGAAACUGGGGGACUUGAGUGCAGAAGAGGAAAGUGGAAUUCCAAGUGUAGCGGUGAAAUGCGUAGAGAUUUGGAGGAACACCAGUGGCGAAGGCGACUUUCUGGUCUGUAACUGACGCUGAGGCGCGAGAGCUUGGGGAGCAAACAGGAUGAGAUACCCUGGUAGUCCACGCCGUAAACGAUGAGUGCUAAGUGUUAGGGGGUUUCCGCCCCUUAGUGCUGCAGCUAACGCAUUAAGCACUCCGCCUGGGGAGUACGGUCGCAAGACUGAAACUCAAAUGAAUUGACGGGG
RNAcentral lists this ribosomal RNA (397 nucleotides) under uncultured bacterium. Its description in RNAcentral is "partial 16S ribosomal RNA". It matches the Rfam family "Bacterial small subunit ribosomal RNA", at positions 523 to 918 of the family's 1533-position model. The record is from RNAcentral.